AGGAAUCAGCGAAAAAACGACUGCUCUGGUAGAACCGCAAAUCGGCCCAGAGCUCCCCUCGGCGUCCAGUUUCACUGCCACUUUGAGCGAUCACAAAAGAUCACGAAAGGCCCCGGGGAACUCCGGGUGCUGAUUAGAAACAGGCGAGGAGCCCGGCCAGGCGUGCGUUUCCCAUUUCCUCCCCAGGGCUGCCAAGCACUCAUCGGCAUCCGCCCCGGGCUGUUCCAGGAACCCGACCCACCCCAGGCCCCGGAGGACAGGCCUGGGUCGGGACAGCGCCCAGCAGGCCAGGUGUCACGGGCAGAGGAGUGGGGUGGGGACACAGGCCCAUGUGAUUCGCAGGCCCCUCCUGCCUGCCCUCCCCCUCCCCACAUCCUGGGCAAGCUGGAGCCAGAGGUUGCCGGGCACAAGCCCCUUCCGGAAGCAUCCGAGACACGGGGCCCCUCCAUUGAGCACGUGGACACGGAUGUGGAAGAGGUCUGCUGCCUGCAGUCACCAGGACCGAAUCUGUAUCUAAACCUUCCCUUCCAGAGUUUUCCCAUCCGUAAGUCCUCUCCUGAGUCUCUGUGGGUGCUACUGCUGCCGUCCUGGCUCUCUCCUGGUCUUACGGUGCCUGAGACCCUCGGUCCCGCGGGGCACACACGACCGCCUUCACUGUGCGGCUUCCUGAAGUCCUCCACACAGGACAUAAUCUCGCCGUCUCGCACUUUAUGAGCCUUUCCCUGGUAGAUUGUUAGGUUGUUCCCAAUCGUUUAUUAUCCUGACUUUUCAAGUAUCUGGGAGUAUCCUUGUAGGAAAGAAAAUAUUAAACUCAGACCCGCUGGAUCAAAGGCUGUGAGCUUUUAAAAUCUGAGAGCUAUUUCCAACUUGCCCAUUAAAAAGCCCCUAUUUAUACCCCAGCCUCCAGAGCACCCCUGUUCUCGUCCU
Molecule: long non-coding RNA, 927 nt
Filed under: Cavia porcellus (domestic guinea pig)
Lineage: Eukaryota; Metazoa; Chordata; Mammalia; Rodentia; Caviidae
Description: lncRNA (ENSCPOG00000040212.1)
Source: RNAcentral